This 253-nucleotide ribosomal RNA is filed under the name uncultured bacterium. RNAcentral describes it as "partial 16S ribosomal RNA". It matches the Rfam family "Bacterial small subunit ribosomal RNA", at positions 524 to 776 of the family's 1533-position model. The record is from RNAcentral.
UACGUAGGGUGCGAGCGUUGUCCGGAAUUACUGGGCGUAAAGAGCUCGUAGGUGGUUUGUCGCGUUGUUCGUGAAAACUCACAGCUCAACUGUGGGCGUGCGGGCGAUACGGGCAGACUGGAGUACUGCAGGGGAGACUGGAAUUCCUGGUGUAGCGGUGGAAUGCGCAGAUAUCAGGAGGAACACCGGUGGCGAAGGCGACUUUCUGGGACAUUCCUGACGCUGAGGAGCGAAAGCGUGGGGAGCAAACGGG